Molecule: ribosomal RNA, 255 nt
Filed under: uncultured bacterium
Lineage: Bacteria
Description: partial 16S ribosomal RNA
Rfam family: Bacterial small subunit ribosomal RNA
Source: RNAcentral
CGGACGGGUGAGUAACGCGUGGGUAACCUGCCUUGCACUGGGGGAUAACACUUAGAAAUAGGUGCUAAUACCGCAUAAGCGCACAGCUUCGCAUGAAGCGGUGUGAAAAACUCUGGUGGUAUACGAUGGUUCCGCGUCUGAUUAGCUAGUUGGUGGGGUAAUGGCCUACCAAGGCAACGAUCAGUAGCCGGCCUGAGAGGGUGAACGGCCACAUUGGGACUGAGACACGGCCCAAACUCCUACGGAAGGCAGCAG